GUGCUAACUUUGGCAGCCCACAUACUAAAAUUGGAAUGAUACAGAGAAGAUUAACAUGAUCACUGUGCAAGGAUGACAUGCAAAUUCAUGAAGCAUUACCUAUUAAA
Otolemur garnettii (small-eared galago) is the source of this 107-nucleotide small nuclear RNA. The record is from Ensembl. Lineage: Eukaryota; Metazoa; Chordata; Mammalia; Primates; Galagidae.